GGUCCUGCUAAAUUGCUAAAUUGCCCAAACUGGGCUUCAACUUGCCUCCUGCCUCAGACUCUCACAGUUCUGAGAUUACAGGCAUAUGCCACAUGCCCAGUUUACAAUGUCACUUUAAAAGAUUUUUUUUCCUUAGUCAUAUUAUGAAAUAAUUAUAAACAUAUGAGGAAAAGCAGUAUCACAACCUUAACAUUGACGUGUGCUAAUAAACAUCAUAAAGCAAACCUGGAUGCUUCCAAACAGGCUCCAGUAUUUGUCAGGUGUGGAAACCACCUCUAAAUCUGCUGCAUUUGGCUUCCAAAUAGAAAGAUUUUGUAACAUUUAAAAAAUCAUCACAGUAAUCCUGUCUAAAAUCUUCAGCCUGUCUUGAGAACAGCAAGCGAGCCCAAACAUGUUCUGGUAUUGCCAUUCCACAUCCACACAGUAUUCACUCUUGCAUUUAUUGGCUGCUUAGUAUGAGCCAGGUACAUUGCACUUAUCUCACUAACCUUACCGCAAUUCUCUGAGAUAAAUGCUGUAUUCUAGUUUUGCAAGUGUGGAAACUGACAUGUACCGAACGGGAUAAUUUAGUAGAGUUCCUGCAGCCACUAAGGUGGGUUCCCUUCCCAGCUUUUCCUUCUGCUGUGGAUUGCCGCACGCAGCUACUCCUAUGUACAAAUCCUGAAGCUAUGACUGCGAAGACGUGGUGGUUGCAGUCUUGGAGUCCUGGAGGAUUUCAGUUAGAAGACACAAGGAUCUGGCUUAAUUUCAAUAUGUGGCGACCAGACUUCAGCAUACUGCUUGUUCAAGGACAACUU
This 797-nucleotide long non-coding RNA is filed under the name Fukomys damarensis (Damara mole-rat). Its description in RNAcentral is "lncRNA (ENSFDAG00000032575.1)". The record is from RNAcentral. Lineage: Eukaryota; Metazoa; Chordata; Mammalia; Rodentia; Bathyergidae.